GACGGUACCUUCAGAAGAAGCCCCGGCUAACUACGUGCCAGCAGCCGCGGUAAUACGUAGGGGGCAAGCGUUGUCCGGAAUUAUUGGGCGUAAAGAGCGUGUAGGCGGCUUGGUAAGUCUGGUGUGAAACCUUGGGGCUCAACCUCGGAAUUGCCUUUGAUACUGUCUGUCUUGAGUUCGGGAGAGGUUGGCGGAAUUCCUAGUGUAGAGGUGAAAUUCGUAGAUAUUAGGAAGAACACCAGUGGCGAAGGCGGCCAACUGGCCCGAUACUGACGCUCAUGUGCGAAAGCGUGGGGAGCAAACAGGAUUAGAUACCCUGGUAGUCCACGCCGUAAACUAUGGAUGCUAGCCGUUGGGGAGCUUGCUCUUCAGUGGCGCAGCUAACGUCUUAAGCAUCCCGCCUGGGGAGUACGGUCGCAAGAUUAAA
Molecule: ribosomal RNA, 427 nt
Filed under: uncultured bacterium
Lineage: Bacteria
Description: bacterial SSU rRNA
Rfam family: Bacterial small subunit ribosomal RNA
Source: RNAcentral